RNAcentral lists this ribosomal RNA (597 nucleotides) under uncultured bacterium. RNAcentral's name for it is "bacterial SSU rRNA". It matches the Rfam family "Bacterial small subunit ribosomal RNA", at positions 109 to 680 of the family's 1533-position model. The record is from RNAcentral.
AGUAAUGGUCUGGGUAAACCUGCCGUGUAUGGAGGGGGAUAACUACCUCUCUAAACGGUAGCUAAUACCGGCAGUAACGUCGCAAGACCAAAGAGGGGGACCUUCGGGCCUCUUGCCAUCGGAUGUGCCCAGAUGGGAUUAGCUAGUAGGUGGGGUAACGGCUCACCUAGGCGACGAUCCCUAGCUGGUCUGAGAGGAUGACCAGCCACACUGGAACUGAGACACGGUCCAGACUCCUACGGGAGGCAGCAGUGGGGAAUAUUGCACAAUGGGCGCAAGCCUGAUGCAGCCAUGCCGCGUGUAUGAAGAAGGCCUUCGGGUUGUAAAGUACUUUCAGCGGGGAGGAAGGCGAUAAGGUUAAUAACCUUGUCGAUUGACGUUACCCGCAGAAGAAGCACCGGCUAACUCCGUGCCAGCAGCCGCGGUAAUACGGAGGGUGCAAGCGUUAAUCGGAAUUACUGGGGCGUAAAAGCCGCACGCAGGCAGGUCUGUCAAGGUCUGGAUGUGAAAUCCCCGGGGCUCAACCCUGGGAACUGCAUUCGAAAACUGGCAGGCUUGAGUUCUUGUAGUAGGGGGGGUGGAAAUUUCCAGGUGUUA